GGUUGAAUAACGCUUGAAAAACCUUCCCUCACUCAAGGCGGAUAUCCAUUGGAAAACGGUUCAUUUAAUUCCAUAUGUCAUGGACGCCUCCCAUGGAGCAGCCCAUUAUAGUUUUUAGGCGAUGGGAGACGUCUCGUCGUCUGAUUAACUAGGUGGUGUGAUAGCACCUCACCAAGGCGAUGAUCAGUAGCUGGCUUGAGAGAGUCCACGGCCACACGGGAGCUGAGACGCGGUCCAUACUCCUACGGGAGGCAGCAGUGGGGAAUAUUCCACAAUGGAGGCAACUCUGAUGCAGCGACGCCGCGUGAGCGAAGAAGGCAUUCGGUUUGUAUAGCUCUGUCCUUGGUGAAGAUAAUGACGGUAGCCAAGAAGGAAGCCCCGGCUACUUACGUGCCACCAGCCGCGUUAAUACGUAGCGGGCGAGCUUUGUCCGGAAUUAUUGGGCGUAAAGGGUACGUAGGCGAUUUUCUAAGUCAGCAGUUAAAGCGCGGGGUUCAACCCCGUAAAGCUGUUGAAACUGGAUACCUUGAGAGAUGGAGAGGCAAGUGGAAUUCCUAGUGUAGCGGUGAAAUGCGUAGAUAUUAGGAGGAAUACCGGUGGCGAAGGCGACUUUCUGGACAUCAACUGACGCUGAGGUACGAAAGCGUGGGGAGCAAACAGGAUUAGAUACCCUGGUAGUCCACGCCGUAAACGAUGAGAAAUAGGUGUCGGGGGUCAAACCUCGGUGCCGUAGCUAACGCAGUAAGCACUCC
RNAcentral lists this ribosomal RNA (752 nucleotides) under uncultured bacterium. Its description in RNAcentral is "bacterial SSU rRNA". It matches the Rfam family "Bacterial small subunit ribosomal RNA", at positions 104 to 870 of the family's 1533-position model. The record is from RNAcentral.